CAGCCGCCGCGGUAAUACCGGCGGCCCGAGUGGCGGCCACUAUUAUUGGGCUUAAAGCGUCCGUAGCCGGGUUGGUUAGUCUCCCGGGAAAUCUGGCCGCUUAACGGUCAGAAUUCCGGGAGAUACUGCCAGCCUAGGGACCGGGAGAGGCCGAGGGUAUUCCCGGAGUAGGGGUGAAAUCCUAUAAUCCCGGGAGGACCACCUGUGGCGAAGGCGCUCGGCUGGAACGGGUCCGACGGUGAGGGACGAAGGCCAGGGGAGCAAACCGGAUUAGAUACCCGGGUAGUCCUGGCUGUAAACGAUGCGGACUUUGUGUCGGACAAGCUAUGAGCUUGUCCGGUGCCGGAGGGAAACCGUUAAGUCCGCCGCCUGGGGAGUACGGCCGCAAGGCUGAAACUUAAAGGAAUUGGCGG
RNAcentral lists this ribosomal RNA (413 nucleotides) under uncultured microorganism. Its description in RNAcentral is "bacterial SSU rRNA". It matches the Rfam family "Archaeal small subunit ribosomal RNA", at positions 459 to 871 of the family's 1478-position model. The record is from RNAcentral.